Long non-coding RNA from Anguilla rostrata (American eel), 4969 nucleotides. RefSeq lists it as uncharacterized. The record is from RefSeq and is a predicted model, not a curated record. Lineage: Eukaryota; Metazoa; Chordata; Actinopteri; Anguilliformes; Anguillidae. The transcript has 4 exons.
UCACAGAUCAAUUCAGCUUUGUUUCCUCGCCCUGAGUUCAAGUGAUUGCUGGAUCCCUGUCCCUCACUCCAUAGUCAUGGACCGCUGCAGAUUCACUCCUCCCCAAGCCAAGCCUCAACAUAGCCUGGAUCUCCAGAUGUAUCACCUGGACCCUCAAAACUGCACUUCACUGAACUAGACAAUUUGGACUUCAAUUAUUCCUGUUUUUUCUUUUUAAAUCUGUGAGGUGGUUUCCAAGUGUCUUCAGAUGUAGUGAAGAGUUUGCGGGUGAGAACAGAACACCAGGUUCAUGAGUUCAGAGAGCCACAGGCUUGCAGGCUUUAAUCAGCAUCUGUGUGGACGAUCACACAGCGCUAGUGAAGCAGUACCAGAGGGAGAUCCCCAGCCUCUGGGCAGUGACCCUUUUAUCUGGCCACUCUGGCCAGCGGCUGCUGUCCAUGGUCCUGCACACACUGGGAAUCAGGUGAGUGGGAGAGAGAGAGAGAGAGAGAGAGAAGGAGACAGAAAGAGUGAGAAAGAGAGAUCACAGUAGGUAAAGACAGCAGUGAAUAGAGCACGUGUCCCAGCCCUCUAUAGACCCACUGCUGUUCACACAUCAGAGCUCCUCUAACUGUGUGUGACAGGAUUUGUAUAGAGGAAGGGGCUUUGCAUACCUGUCCUGCCUCACUGCUCCACACACUUUAAGACCCCCAGUGCUGAUCAGUGACUGUCCAGUCCUUUCACAGACACUGACACAGGCAGCAUCAUGAUGAUGUCAAACAUUCUACUGCUGGUGAUGCUGGGACUCCUUGUACAAGAAUCAAAGGCAGAUAAAGUUCUGACUCAGGAUCCAGCAGCUCGAUCUGUUCAGCUGGGAGACACUGUCUCUAUCAGCUGUACAGUCAGUGAGGAUGUGAGCAUCUGGCUCCACUGGUACCUGCAGAAACCUGGUCAGGCUCCUAAACUUCUGAUUUAUAAGGCCACAACCCGCCAGACUGGGAUUCCUGAUCGUUUCAGUGGGAGUGGAUCUGGGACUCAGUUCACACUGAAAAUCACUGGAGUCCAGGCUGAAGAUGCAGGAGAUUAUUACUGUCAACGUGCCUAUUUCACACUGCUCACACAGUGAUAGAGAGCCGUACAAAAACCUCCCUCAGUCAGACUGCACAGAGACUGCACUGCUGCAGCUGGGACCUACUGCAGGUGCUGAGGGGGGAGGCACUGAUCUGGAACAUUGAGCCCUGUUAGAUUAUUAUAAAAAUGUUUAUAUUCUCAAGUCAAAACAAUUACCAUAUACAUUAAUAUAUUUCAGAGAAUCCAAACUUUAAAUUAUGAAUGCAAUGUUGAAUAAUUUCCAAUAACUAUGCUUCAUAAUCUCUCCUUGGCCAACAGACAUGUGUUGUUCUGAAGCAGUGCUCUGACAUAAAAUAUCACAUUUCUAAAUUAAUUGAUAGUUAAUGAGUUUAACACAGGAUGGGACAGAGCCCAGCAGCAGUGAACAGCAGGCAGUCCAGCACAGUGGAGUCGCUCAGUCCAGAGCUCUCCCAGCACACCUUACACAGGCUGCUGCUGCACACCCUGACCAAUCAGAGAGCUCCACUGCUGCUUCUGAUCUGAUCCUCCAACCCCGUAAUAAAGGAGCACAAGCUACAGUCUGACGAGCUCUUCAGGACUGAUGGAGGAAUUACAGUUUAGGACAAAACUGACACUAAAACCAGGCUAAAAUCAUAGAAUACGUUUUCCACGGUCAGCUUAGUUUUCACAGUAUUUAAAAAGAAGCAUCUUCAUUGCUAGUUGUCACAAUACAACUGCAUUAAAACUCAGAAAGAAGAUGAGUGAAAUCAGGAAACAUUCAAAAUAAUUCAGCAUUUCACUUUUCAAUGAUUCUAUAUGGACGUACUGUAACUGAAUAAUUUCCUGUGACUGACUGAUGUCCCUGACUGUCUGAUCUCAUGUUAUGAACCUGUCGUCAGUGCACACAAUAUGUUAAUUUUUUAAGCAGAUAUUUUACAAUCAUACCUCAUAGUCAGCCAGUCUUUACCAAGUGCACAUCAAUAAUCAUACAGUAAAAUCAGAAUCAGUAAAAUUGACUUUCAAAUGCUUGACUAUGUGAAAACAUCAGUGAAUAGAGCACAUGUCCCUGCCCUCUAUAGACCCACUGCUGUUCACACAUCAGAGCUCCUCUAACUGUGUGUGACAGGAUUUGUAUAGAGGAAGGGGCUUUGCAUACAUGUCCUGCCUCACUGCUCCACACACUUUAAGACCCUCAGCACUGAUCAGUGACUGUCCAGUCCUUUCACAGACACUGACACAGGCAGCAUUAUGAUGAUGUCACACUUUCUACUGCUGGUGAUGUUGGGUCUCUUUGUACAGGGAUCAAGGGCAGAUAUAAUCCUGACUCAGUCUCCAGCAGCUCGGUCUGUUCAGCUGGGAGAGACUGUCUCUAUCAGCUGUACAGCCAGUGAGAGCGUUUACAGCUCCCUUAUUAGCGGGAGCUUACUCCACUGGUACCUGCAGAAACCUGGUCAGGCUCCUAAACUUCUGAUUUAUUAUGCCACAACUCGGCAGACUGGGAUUCCUGAUCGUUUCAGUGGGAGUGGAUCUGGGACUCAGUUCACACUGAAAAUCACUGGAGUCCAGGCUGAAGAUGCAGGAGAUUAUUACUGUCAGCAGGGCUUGAGCACGCCACUCACACAGUGAUAGAGAGCCGUACAAAAACCUCCCUCUGUCAGAGUGCACAGAGACUGCACUGCUGCAGUGGGGACCUACUGCAGGUGCUGAGGGGGGAGGCACUGGUCUGGAACACUGAGCUGUGGUGGAUUAUUAUAAAAAUGUUUAUACUCUCACAUCUAAAUAAAUAUCAUAUAUUAUAAUUUCUGUGUAUCCAAACUUUAAAUUAUGAAUGUCAUGUUAAAUAAUUUCCAUUAACUAUGCUUCAUAAUCUCUCCUUGGCCAACAGACGUGUGUUCUGAAGCUGUGCUAUGACACAAAAUAUCACAUUUCUAAAUGAAUUGAUAGUUAAUGAGUUUUACACAGGAUGGCACAGAGCCCAGCAGCAGUGAACUGCAGGCAGUCCAGCACAGUGGAGUCGCUCAGUCCAGAGCUCUCCCAGCACACCUUACACAGGCUGCUGCUACACACCCUGACCAAUCAGAGAGCUCCACUGCUGCUUCUGAUCUGAUCCUCCAACCCCGUAAUAAAGGAGCACAAGCUACAGUCUGACAGCACCGCUGACCAAUCCGGUGAGCUGCUGUGCAGAAGGCAUCAUAUCAUUAUCUGUGAGGUCACCACAGGAGGGAGGGAGGGACUCCUUCAGCUCAGUCGUCCCUUUCUCUCUGAGGAAAAGCGAUUCCUCUGGGUGACUGUGUGCCUGCAGUCUGCCUGUGCCAGCUGCGCAGUGUGAGCUCCCAGAUUCAGUGGCUGCGCUGCUCAGCUGGCUGAGAGCUAAAUGAGAAUUAGCGGCUGCUGGCUGCACAUGGGGAAGAGCAGAAUUUUCUGAGCUCUCCAGGACUGAUGGAGGAAUUACAGUUCAGCACGUAUAUGUGGAUAAAUCUUCGUUUGAAACAUGAAAUACAUUUUUGUAAGGUUAAGUCAGUUUCCCCAAUAUUUGAACACAAGCAUCUUCAUUACUAGUAUUCUAAAAUGCAACUCCAUUAAAUUCAAAGAAAGAUGGUCUUCUGAGUGAAAUCAGGGAAUGUUCAUUGUUAUCUUGCAUUUCACUUUUCAUGAAUUAUAGAUAGAUAUACUGCAUCUGAGUUAUUCCCUGCACCUGACAGAUGUCUAUGACUUUCCAAACUACCAUGAAGAAACUACAAUCAUAACAUUCAACGUGAAUUCAUUCACCUCAUAUUUUACACAAUGAUAAGCCAUAUUCAGCCUGCCUGUCUUCACCAGUUAUGUUCAUAAAAUCAGAUACUACAAGGCCAAAAACAGUAAUAUUGACAUUUAAACGUUUAACAGGGUAAAAACAGCAUGUGUCCCAGCCCUCUAUAGACCCACUGCUGUUCACACAUCAGAGCUCCUCUAACUGUGUGUGACAGGAUUUGUAUAGAGGAAGGGGCUUUGCAUACCUGUCCUGCCUCACUGCUCCACACACUUUAAGACCCCCAGCACUGAUCAGUGACUGUCCAGUCCUUUCACAGACACUGACACAGGCAGCGUUAUGAUGAUGUCACACUUUCUACUGCUGGUGAUGCUGGGACUCCUUGUACAGGGAUCAAUGGCAGAUAUAGUCCUGACUCAGUCUCCAACAGCUCAGUCUUUUCAGCAAGGAGACACUGUCUCUAUCAGCUGUACAGCCAGUGAGAGUGUUUACCACUCCAGUUAUAGCAAGAGCUUUCUCAGCUGGUACCUGCAGAAACCUGGUCAGGCUCCUAAACUUCUGAUAUAUGAAGCCACAACUCGCCAGACUGGGAUUCCUGAUCGUUUCAGUGGGAGUGGAUCUGGGACUCAGUUCACACUGAAAAUCACUGGAAUCCAGGCUGAAGAUGCAGGAGAUUAUUACUGUCAGCAGAGUUUGAGCUUUCCGUACACACAGUGAUAGAGAGCCGUACAAAAACCUCCCUCAGUCAGACUGCACAGAGACUGCACUGCUGCAGCUGGGACCUACUGCAGGUGCUGAGGGGGGAGGCACUGGUCUGAGACAGCAGUACUGCAAACUGGGCUGUAGGGGGGCGACAAUGAGCCAUAGCUCUGAAUGCACACCUCUCUGUGCUGAAGAGGAGCUGCUCUGUCACACACACUGAACCCAUAGCAGAGCUGCUGCUGAACCACACACACUUCUGUACCACAACAUCACAGGCAUCACACAGUACAUCAGCUCACAAGCAGCAAUCAUCUCCAUAUUGCACGUGAGUUCAGACUAAUGCAGAGGAUGUGUACAUUCUCAUACAGGUGGAAUGAGUGUGGUUUCAAAUGAAUUGCUUUCUGAAAAGAUGAGUUUGUAUUCAAUGCAUACACAAUAUUUAUUAUAUUAAAGGUGUUUCUGUUCAAA